Molecule: ribosomal RNA, 260 nt
Filed under: uncultured bacterium
Lineage: Bacteria
Description: partial 16S ribosomal RNA
Rfam family: Bacterial small subunit ribosomal RNA
Source: RNAcentral
AGCGGCGGACGGGUGAGUAACGCGUGGGUAACCUGCCUCAUACAGGGGGAUAACAGUUAGAAAUGACUGCUAAUACCGCAUAAGCACACAGAACCGCAUGGUUCGGGGUGAAAAGCCGAGACGGUAUGAGAUGGACCCGCGUCUGAUUAGCUAGUUGGAGGGGUAACGGCCCACCAAGGCAACGAUCAGUAGCCGACCUGAGAGGGUGACCGGCCACAUUGGGACUGAGACACGGCCCAAACUCCUACGGAAGGCAGCAG